CGGGGUUUAGCGCAGUUUGGUUAGCGCGUCAGACUGGGGGUCUGAAGGUCGUGGGUUCAAAUCCCACAACCCCGA
This 75-nucleotide transfer RNA is filed under the name Planctomycetota bacterium. RNAcentral describes it as "tRNA-Pro". It matches the Rfam family "tRNA". Rfam says of the family: Transfer RNA (tRNA) molecules are approximately 80 nucleotides in length. Their secondary structure includes four short double-helical elements and three loops (D, anti-codon, and T loops). Further hydrogen bonds mediate the characteristic L-shaped molecular structure. tRNAs have two regions of fundamental functional importance: the anti-codon, which is responsible for specific mRNA codon recognition, and the 3' end, to which the tRNAs corresponding amino acid is attached (by aminoacyl-tRNA synthetases). tRNAs cope with the degeneracy of the genetic code in two manners: having more than one tRNA (with a specific anti-codon) for a particular amino acid; and 'wobble' base-pairing, i.e. permitting non-standard base-pairing at the 3rd anti-codon position. The record is from RNAcentral. Lineage: Bacteria; Pseudomonadati; Planctomycetota.